AUACGUAGGUGGCAAGCGUUGUCCGGAUUUACUGGGUGUAAAGGGCGUGUAGGCGGGAAUACAAGUCAGAUGUGAAAUACUGCGGCUCAACUGCAGAACUGCAUCUGAAACUGUAUUUCUUGAGUACUGGAGAGGAAAGCGGAAUUCCUAGUGUAGCGGUGAAAUGCGUAGAUAUUAGGAGGAACACCGGUGGCGAAGGCGGCUUUCUGGACAGUAACUGACGCUGAGACGCGAAAGCGUGGGGAGCAAACAGGAUUAGAAACCCGGGUAGUCC
Molecule: ribosomal RNA, 274 nt
Filed under: uncultured bacterium
Lineage: Bacteria
Description: partial 16S ribosomal RNA
Rfam family: Bacterial small subunit ribosomal RNA
Source: RNAcentral